Molecule: long non-coding RNA, 1317 nt
Organism: Seriola aureovittata
Lineage: Eukaryota; Metazoa; Chordata; Actinopteri; Carangiformes; Carangidae
Exons: 3
Source: RefSeq, a predicted model, not a curated record
AUGGGCGGCUGUUCUUCUUCCCGCCACAAGAUGGAAGCCAUGUACCGUGAAAAUGGAGCAACACACCUUGUGAACAUGAGCAGCCAAGCAUCAGAGCGGUACCCUCCUACUCCUCGCUGUUCUGUCAAGAUAAAGCCAAGCCAGCGGGGCCGGGACGACGUGCUGCGUUUGGAGGCUUGAUUAUGCCGUGUGGCAGACUGAGAGAGGCGUUUGGAGACACUUCAGCAGACUGAUCACUGCUGGGCCUCUACAGGCUGUGUGUUUGCUGUCCAGCAGCCGAGCGUUGCCGACAGAACUGCUUCCUUGUUCACUGGCGACACUUAAAACGCCCCCCUGGAUUGACCGAGCUCUCUGUGGGGAGAGGGAGAAGAUAAGGAGGGAAUUGGUGAAGAGAGCAGUGGGACGCAACAAAGGAUAGAAGAAGAAAGACAGAAAAGUACACAUAGGACAGACAGAUGUUAGGAAGGCAUGAACAGAGGAACAUACUGCAGUUACCUGAGGUUUGUUAGUGUAAUGCACCUUUUAUAAAAGCAGAAGGACGUUCUUCUUUACUUUCAUUUGAUUCUUCUUUCUGUGAUUCAUCGGAGUCCAACUAUACUACAUGCAGCCUUUUCAGAGCAGUGAGCAAUGCUGACUUCUUAAACUCUGCUGUUUAUCAGAUUGUUUCUGUCAUCACUUUCCUGCUCUCUACAUCAUUGGAGUCACUGGCGUGUUUGUGGAUGAGUCUUUUGCAGCACUAAACAGUGGCAGGCAUCGUCCGUCUGGCUCCCUGCGCUGGUGCUUGCGAUUUUUAGAAGUCACACAACGCUGAUUGCCAAUAAUGAUGAGCUGGCGAAGAGAGGCGGAGGGAGAGAUGAGGUGGUGAUUGCUGCUACUGUGUGUGAGUCGAUAAUGGAGAAUAUAUGUCAUGUGCCAUUAUGUAUCUUACUGUGUGCCUGCAACCCAUAUGCUAAUUAAUGCUGAUUUAUGCCUCAUUAUGUUGAUUUAUAACGGGGAUACAGGAGUGCUGUUGACUGACUGUAGAAAAAAAGAGUUGGCUCCAUUAAAAGACACGAUAGUAGUGUAACUCUCUAUCACUGUUUUCAGGACAGCUCAGUGAAGCUUUGCUUCAUUGUUUAUAAAGAAUUCUACUCAUAGAAAUGUUUGGCUGGUAAUAAAUCUGUAUCAUAAAAAUUUGAUACUCUACCAUUAAAGGACCAACAUGGUAACUUUGCACGAUUUAGCCCAUUGACUGCAAAUCAUGUAUAUUUAACAUUACUGUUGGCCAUUUUCUAACCGAUAACUUUGAUUUCCUACUUUACAAUCCAUCACAGUGAA